AAUUCUUAUAGUAGUUGGAGGAUUUAAAUUAUUAGAAAAAGUAGUAUCACUACAUAAACAUUAUUCGAAAAUUCUUAGAGAUUGAUAUAGCAUCCAGGAAGAGGCAGAUACUAGGAUAAUUUUGCAUGCAAUAUACGAAAAGGAAUUGAUGUUUUUGUACAACUUGGGCACGGCUCUAAUAGAAGAUUUAUUUCAAUAAAAAAGAGGUGGUUCAAAGUUCAAAGUUUGGGAACUAAAGUUUGCUCUUGCCUUCUCUGGCACUCCAUUGCUUUACUGGUUGUGACACCACAAGUUUUUUUUAAUUGGUUGUUUUUCUUUACAAAAACAAAGGCAAGGAAAUUCAAAAAUUAAAUGACCUAAGAAUAAAACUGGCGACAACAACAAACAAACCGUGUUCGGAGCUUCCUCCAACUGAAGGUGUAUGUAUCAACUUAAAAUAUGGUACAAGAGCAAUAUACCAAGACCUCUUAUAAAUGCAGAGAAUUCAGGAUGGAAUUUAACUAAAGAGGUUGUCUCCCAUAUUUACCAAUGACACGCCGAUUCCCGAUAUUGU
Sitophilus oryzae (rice weevil) is the source of this 553-nucleotide long non-coding RNA. RefSeq lists it as uncharacterized. NCBI's taxonomy places the organism in Eukaryota, Metazoa, Arthropoda, Insecta, Coleoptera, Curculionidae. The record is from RefSeq and is a predicted model, not a curated record. The transcript is spliced from 3 exons.